This 71-nucleotide transfer RNA is filed under the name Marmota monax (woodchuck). Its description in RNAcentral is "tRNA.Gly". The record is from RNAcentral. Lineage: Eukaryota; Metazoa; Chordata; Mammalia; Rodentia; Sciuridae.
GUGGCUGGGGCUCAGCAGUAGAGCACUCCUCUUCCAUGUGUGAGUCCCUGGGUUCGAUUCUCAGCUCCACA